This is a non-coding RNA of Rattus norvegicus (Norway rat), 2021 nucleotides long. Lineage: Eukaryota; Metazoa; Chordata; Mammalia; Rodentia; Muridae. The record is from RefSeq and is a predicted model, not a curated record.
GCAUGGGUGUUACCAUGGGCUGCAGUCCAGCACUGAAUGAAGUGGACAAAGCAAGCUGAGCACUGUGGCCCGUCACCCCUCCUUCCUGACGGCAGACGCACACUCGUCAGCCAUCUGGUUCCGGCCGCCAGGCCUUGCCCACUUUCUUUACUACGUUGCUUUUGUUGGGUGCCAUCACAAAAGUAACUAACGUACUCCCAAAACCCAGAAAUGUGACAAGAUAACCAUAAUCAGAUAUAUUUGUAAAAAGGACUUCAUAUAAAAGUUAAGAAUGUACUAAUAGAGGCCCGAGAGGUGGCGCAGUGGCUAAGAGCACUGGCUGCUCUUUCGGAGGACCUGAACUGGAUUCCCAGCUCCCAACUGUGUAAGUCCAAUCCCAGGGGAUCCGACACUCCCCUUCGGCCUCCACAAGCACUCAUACACAUGCGGGCAAAAUACCCACAAACAUGAAAUAAUAGUAAAGUUGUUGUUGUUGUUGUUGUUGUUGUUAUUAUUAUUAUUAUUUAGCUUACUAUACUUAACAGUGAAUUUUAUAGAAAAAAGCAGAGAGACGUCACUGUAGAACCGAUAGAGUUACAAAAGUUGAAGCUGACAACUGGCAAGGUCACUCACUAAUACGUGACCAGAAGAAUCAUUCAGAGUUACCUUGCGGAUUGGCUGGGAUGCUUCCCUCAUCAAACUCAAAGGACCCAACGAUUCAUUUCUUCCAGUCCUAACAAUGACUUUUUCUCCUCCUCUCUUUGCAUUUCCCGAGGUCAAGGAUCAACUUGCUUUCAAAGUAAACUGAAACACUGCGGAUCCUAAAACCCUGGCCUCUCCUCGGAGAUGGGCACAUAGUCCUCGCUGGUUCAUUCGUCUCUCUCUAGGCUUUGUGUGUUUUUAUAGGCAGGGUUUCUCUGUGUAUCUCCGGCUGUCCAGGAAUUCGCUCUGCAGAUCUGGCAGGCCCCAAAUUCACAGAGAUCCCCCUGCCUCUGGGAUUAAAGAUGUGCAUCUGCAUCGUCACCGCUGUCAAAUCCUUGUUUCUAACCACAGUGAUAAAACUCUGCAGUUCAGGGACCCUGAGGUUAUACGGAGCCUUUCCUUCCUGUGGCCUGUAGUUAAAGCUCCCUUCCCACCUUGUGAGCCUUAGUUACCUCCCAGGGUAUUUGCUUAGAUACAGACUGCUUAUUAUCAGUCCAUGGUCCAUCAUUCAUCAUCACCACAUUAAAACCAGAUGUCCUCACCUUACAGAGCAGGUGUCCCCCACUGUCCUUAUAGAAGUGCCCCCACUGUCCUUAUAGAGGAGGUGUCCCUCACUGUCCUUUUUUUUCUUUUUCUUUUUUUUUCUUUUUUUCUAGAGCUGGGGUUCGAACCCAGGGCCUUGCGCUUGGUAGGCAAGCGCUCUACCACUGAGCUAAAUCCCCAAUCCCCCUCACUGUCCUUAUAGAGGAGGUGUCCCUCACUGUCCUUAUAGAGGAGGUGCCCCUCACUGUCCUUAUAGAGGUGUCCCCCACUGUCCUUACAGAGCAGGUGUCCCCCACUGUCCUUACAGAGCAGGUGUCCCCCACUGUCCUUAUAGAGGUGCCCCCCACUGUCCUUAUAGAGGAGGUGUCCCUCAGUGUCCUUUUUUUCUUUUUUCCUUUUUCUUUUUUUCUAGAGCUGGGGUUCGAACCCAGGGCCUUGCGCUUGGUAGGCAAGCGCUCUACCACUGAGCUAAAUCCCCAACCCCCUUCACUGUCCUUAUAGAGGAGGUGUCCCUCACUGUCCUUAUAGAGGAGGUGUCCCCCAUUGUCCUUAUAGAGGUGCCCCUCACUGUUCUUACAAAGGUGUCCCCCCACUGUCCUUAUAGAGGUGCCCCCCACUAUCCUUAUAGAGGAGGUGUCCCCCACUGUCCUUAUAGAGGUGUCUCCACUGUCCUUAUAGAGGAGGUGCCCCACUGUCCUCACAAGAAGAUCAUUGCAAUUAUUCCCAUGGUCUGCAAACACAACUCCAUUCUAGACAAGGAGACCCAGGGUCUGUCUUCACACAAGCUAUGAAAUCCC